CGGACCACGCGGUCGAGGACCAGCGGUUUGGCGGGCCGCACUGGAACCCUGCCCGCAUGACGUGGAUCAAACCCUCGUUCGGGUGGGUGCUGUACCGGUCAGGCUACGC
RNAcentral lists this non-coding RNA (109 nucleotides) under Polarella glacialis. Lineage: Eukaryota; Dinophyceae; Suessiales; Suessiaceae. The record is from RNAcentral.